Bos taurus (domestic cattle) is the source of this 1210-nucleotide long non-coding RNA. Lineage: Eukaryota; Metazoa; Chordata; Mammalia; Artiodactyla; Bovidae. The record is from Ensembl.
AACAGAGAUAAUUUGUCUGCUGCACUGGGCUCUGGUGACUGGGUGGCUUGUAGACUAGGCCCACGGCCUUUCACCUCAUCCUGCUCUUGCCUGCUGGUUCUCCCAGCCAUGCCGAUUAGAAGCGAGAGAAAUUAAGAUCUCCCCCUCGCCUCCCACCGCCAUAGGCUGCAGGAGAGUAUGAGAGAGUGUCCUAUCCAGCUAAGAACAGGGUCUCGCCAGGACCCUGGGCCUGAACAGAUUUAUGUAAGAAGAAAGGCAACGUAGAUUUGGCAGAGCCAGUCUCCCUAACGGCAAUCUGCUAGUUUGGAAGAAUUUGUUCAAAGCAAGGAACUUCUGCCCACAGUCAUCCCUUCCAUCUCUCCACUUCUACCCUUGGGCCUAAGACUUCACUGCCUCAGCUGUUGAGGAGUAGACUUCUCUUGACAUCAUUAAUGUGCCCAAGAUGCCCUGUUUGCACAUAUUUGUGUGCCUUCCAAUUAAAAUGAUUCAUUAAACCUCUGGUGGAGUUCAUUUUUAUUCUGCAAUAAGAACACUCAAAUAAAUACAUUCAGCCAUGGAAAGAAUCCUUUGAGCAAGCCCAUGUCCUAAUUUUGGUUUGGGGAAUCUAGUCCUGAAGUUGUCAUCUGGGAAUGUGCUGAAGAGACUGGAGGCCAGUUUUGCAAGGGAGCUGAGCAGGCCGACCUGACUCUGGCUACUUGGAGUGGGGCUGAGCAGCUUGGCUCUGUCCGGCCCUGGGGACAGCAUGGCAGCUCCUGAGGACUCCGCAGGCCCUGCAGCCCUGUGGCCCAGAAGCAGGGGCUCCCUCUCUCCUUUGGGAGAUCGUUGUGGAAUGUAGUUAACAUCAGCCUCAGCAAACACCACACUCCGCAUACCGUGAUGCUGCCUGGGGACAACCCGCAGCUAUAGUUUCCAUCCUGAGUGACUGGGAAGUAGCAUGUGUCACUCCCAACCGUGGGUCUCCACAGAGGAGGCCAAGUGGCUACUGGAUGCACCUGGAUGGGGCUCACGCCCAGUCUGUUCCGGGCUCUGUGACCUGAUGAUUUGGGGGUCCUUGAUGCCCCUCUGAGUUGCAGUUGUUUUCCAGUGGAAGACAUCUCUCAGAAACCUACCAUGCUACCCAAUUUGUAUUUCUAAGUCUUGCCAGCAAUCCCACUCAUUCCUGUUUUACAGACAAGGAGAUUGUUGCUCAGAGAGAUUCAUUGACUUGACC